This 29-nucleotide transfer RNA is filed under the name Urosaurus nigricauda. RNAcentral describes it as "partial tRNA-Thr". Lineage: Eukaryota; Metazoa; Chordata; Lepidosauria; Squamata; Phrynosomatidae. The record is from RNAcentral.
GCCUCUGUAGCUAAAACUUUAAAGCAUUG